AUCUCGAGAUCUCUGCUUUACUUUCUCUCUCCGUCUAUAUAUUAAAUAUAUUAUGCAAAUAAAUCUUCCUGAUUCUCACAAUCUCACAGGACUAACAGGAGAUAGAAAAAGCUGGACGGGCAUUGGGAUGGGAAGAAACAGAGGAAGGAGUGAUCUGUUCUGAACUUCGCUAGGGUUUUUGCUCUCUAUAUCCGAUCAAAGACGGUGGUUGCGAAAUGGGCAGGAGAGAUUUGAAACAGCUGUCUCAAUCCGUAAAAGAAAUCAGAAUUGGGUCGGUCGGUGAGACACUCUCCUUUCUCUCUCUCUCUUCCUUCUGUAAAAAAAAUAAAAGAAGUUUUUUGUCCCUUUUUUAACCCCUCUUUUGAAUCUUCUUUGCUUCCAUUAGGAACAUCGGCAAAGAAUAACCCCAGAUUGAAGCAAACAGCCCAUGUUUUCAGAAUGAUUACCAUUUACUACGUUUGAAGUGUAAUUACAGCCAUGGACCAGUAAGGUAAUAAGUGAAGGUAUCUUUCUAUUGACAUCUUAUGAUCUUAAUGAAAAUUAUAUACACAUCGGAUUAGAACUAAUUGAUUGUAAUUACGAUGAUAAUUACUAAAUACCUUAAAUUGUCAACGUUGAAUCGUUGAUGUUAAAUCAUCUUCAUCCUGGUUGCAAUUUGCACCAGGUGUGUAUAAAUAGUAUCCUAAUUAUUAUUAAAUGAGUCGUCAGUCAUGAAUACAUUUAUUGUAUUCAAUACAAUUGAUGGUAAAAUACUGUAUAGUGUAUGACCACAAAGCUGAAAGCGUGCAUCAGGCGAAGGGAAGUACCAGGAUUAUUAUUAAAAAAAAGGAGGUACCAGAUAUUAAAUACAGUGGUGUACUUUUUUUCUAUUUUGAAUUUAAUAAGGGUUUCCUAAAUCACUCUCACUGAUUUUCUUGAUGAUCUUGUGAUAGUCUUUAACGAGGAUUAAUUGAUGCAGAGGAGUUUGAAAACAAAAACAAUCUGUUAUAGAACUUGUAGAAAUUUCUAUAUAUUUUUUUAAUCUCUAAACUAACAGAUAAACUGAUCUUUUUUAAUCUCUAAUUUAUUUUUAAAACCUUUAUACAUGUACAAUACCAGAUUACAAUUUACAAGAUGAUAACUUAUGAGACGAAUGU
This 1136-nucleotide long non-coding RNA is filed under the name Zostera marina. RNAcentral describes it as "long non-coding RNA (ZMAR_LNC000021)". The record is from RNAcentral. Lineage: Eukaryota; Viridiplantae; Streptophyta; Magnoliopsida; Alismatales; Zosteraceae.